CUACGGGUUGCUGCAGUGAGGAAUAUUGCACAAUGGGGGAAACCCUGAUGCAGCAACGCCGCGUGGAGGAUGACGCAUUUCGGUGUGUAAACUCCUUUUAUAUGUCAAGAAAAUGACGGUAGCAUAUGAAUAAGCACCGGCUAACUCCGUGCCAGCAGCCGCGGUAAUACGGAGGGUGCAAGCGUUAUUCGGAAUCACUGGGCGUAAAGGACGCGUAGGCGGGUUUGCAAGUCAGGUGUGAAAUCCUAUGGCUCAACCAUAGAACUGCACUUGAAACUGCGAACCUAGAGUAUGGAAGGGGCAGAUGGAAUUAGUGGUGUAGGGGUAAAAUCCGUAGAUAUCACUAGGAAUACCAAAAGCGAAGGCGAUCUGCUGGGACAUUACUGACGCUAAGGCGUGAAAGCGUGGGGAGCAAACAGGAUUAGAUACCCUAGUAGUC
RNAcentral lists this ribosomal RNA (439 nucleotides) under uncultured bacterium. Its description in RNAcentral is "partial 16S ribosomal RNA". It matches the Rfam family "Bacterial small subunit ribosomal RNA", at positions 339 to 795 of the family's 1533-position model. The record is from RNAcentral.